Molecule: ribosomal RNA, 467 nt
Filed under: uncultured bacterium
Lineage: Bacteria
Description: partial 16S ribosomal RNA
Rfam family: Bacterial small subunit ribosomal RNA
Source: RNAcentral
GACGAACGCUGGCGGCGUGCUUAACACAUGCAAGUCGAACGGAAAGGCCCUGCUUUUGUGGGGUGCUCGAGUGGCGAACGGGUGAGUAACACGUGAGUAACCUGCCCUUGACUUUGGGAUAACUUCAGGAAACUGGGGCUAAUACCGGAUAGGAGCUCCUGCUGCAUGGUGGGGGUUGGAAAGUUUCGGCGGUUGGGGAUGGACUCGCGGCUUAUCAGCUUGUUGGUGGGGUAGUGGCUUACCAAGGCUUUGACGGGUAGCCGGCCUGAGAGGGUGACCGGCCACAUUGGGCAUGAGUAACGGCCCGACCCCCUCCGGGGGCAAGCGGGGGGGAUUUUUGCCAAGGGGGGGGAAGCCGGAUCCAGCAACCCCCCGGGGGGGAUGGCGGCUUUCGGGUUGAAACCACUUUCCCCCUGGAAAGAAGGGUGAGUAGGGGAAAUGGGAAAAGAAGCCCCGGCUACCAACGU